AUUAAGGUGGCAGAGCCGGGAAAUUGCAAAGGGCCUAAGCCCCUUGUUCAGAAGUUCAAAUCCUCUCCUUAAUU
Molecule: transfer RNA, 74 nt
Filed under: Chauliodus sloani (Sloane's viperfish)
Lineage: Eukaryota; Metazoa; Chordata; Actinopteri; Stomiiformes; Stomiidae
Also listed under: 1 other name
Description: tRNA-Leu (UUR)
Rfam family: tRNA
About the family: Transfer RNA (tRNA) molecules are approximately 80 nucleotides in length. Their secondary structure includes four short double-helical elements and three loops (D, anti-codon, and T loops).
Source: RNAcentral